AUUGAACGCUGGCGGCAUGCCUUACACAUGCAAGUCGAACGGCAGCACGGGAGCAAUCCUGGUGGCGAGUGGCGAACGGGUGAGUAAUAUAUCGGAACGUGCCCAGUCGUGGGGGAUAACGUAGCGAAAGCUACGCUAAUACCGCAUACGAUCUAUGGAUGAAAGCGGGGGAUCGCAAGACCUCGCGCGAUUGGAGCGGCCGAUAUCAGGAUUAGGUAGUUGGUGAGGUAAAGGCUCGCCAAGCCGACGAUCUGUAGCUGGUCUGAGAGGAC
This 272-nucleotide ribosomal RNA is filed under the name uncultured bacterium. Its description in RNAcentral is "partial 16S ribosomal RNA". It matches the Rfam family "Bacterial small subunit ribosomal RNA", at positions 30 to 301 of the family's 1533-position model. The record is from RNAcentral.